RNAcentral lists this long non-coding RNA (1334 nucleotides) under Capra hircus (goat). RNAcentral's name for it is "lncRNA (ENSCHIG00010020610.1)". The record is from RNAcentral. Lineage: Eukaryota; Metazoa; Chordata; Mammalia; Artiodactyla; Bovidae.
AUAUAAUUCAAAGAAAACAAAUAUAUACUCUUUAAUAUCUGAGCAAAGAGGUAAAACAGAAAUAUAAUGGAAAUGUAAGUACAUUUAAAGCAAGAAUCUUAUUCAUUGAAUAUCCCCUGUACCCAGAAUAUUACCUAGCAUAUAGUGGAUUCUGAACAAAUAUGUUAAAAUGUAAAAGAAAUUAAUGAUAUCUUCACUCUAUAUUAUAAAGAAAAUAAGUGAAGCCAGUUAAGAAAAUCUCAUUCAAAUGAAAAGAAUUGGUGGCUUCACUUCUACACACAAAGUUUUAGAGGCUUCAUUCUAUUAUUUCAUAUAUCCACACUUGUCCAAAAGUUUGAAGGACAUCAGAACACAAAGUGAAAAAUCUCAAAGCUAUUCCUCUCUUCAACAUUUUCUGUACUCCACAUCAAUCAGUCAUGUCCAGCUCUUUGCAACCCCAUGGACUAUAGUCUAACAGGCUCCUCUGUCCACGGGAUUUUCCAGACAAAAAUUCUGGAGUGGGUUGCCACUCGCUUCUCCAGAGGAUCUUCCUUACCUAGGGAUCGAAUCCAGAUCCCCUGCACUGCAGGCAGAUUCUUUACGGUCUCAACCACCAGCGAAGCCCAUACUCCACAUCACCAGUUCUCAAAUCGAAUUCAUCCUUCUAUUCAUUAGAACACAACAUUUUUUUGUUUUGUGCUAUCCUGUGUUACCAAGGCAACAGACAAAUAUGGAGGCAUAUGGCUGUAUAUCUUAUGAUUGCCUUCACAUCAAUAAGAUUUCACAUUAAAUAAUAUAUCAGUUUCUCAUACUGUUGAGGCAACUCCAGAGAACUGUGUGCUCAGUUGCUAUCAUGUCUGACUCUUCGGGACCCUAUGGACUGCAGCCUGCCAGGGUUCUCUGUCCAUCCAGGUAAGAAUACUUGAGUGGGUUGCCAUUUCUUCCACCAGAGGAUUGGCCUGACACAGGGAUCAAACUCAUGUCUCCUGCAUCUCUUGCAUUAGUAGAUGGAUUGUUCACUACUGAGCCUCCUGGGAAACCUAUACUAGGUGAAAAUUUUCUGAAUGAUUAAUUCCAGUACAGUUUACAUUGAAGAAAAAGAGGAGGUUUAAGGUACCUUUCCUUCAUAGUCAUCAGCCUUGUUUCUCUCUUUUUUCCCUACAACACAUUCAACCAGGUCUUGGCAGAUCAAGACAAACAUCUGCAAAAGCACAUGUCCAGAAGCUCAUUUCUCACAUGCAAAAGUUAACAGGCUUACCAAAACUGACAUAGAUAAAUCUUCAGUGCAGUUCAGUCACUCAGUCAUGCCCAACUCUUUGCGACCCCGUGAAUCGCAGCACACCAGGCCUCCCUGU